UGAGUAUUAGGUUUUAUUUUUGAAGAUUUCACUAUAAAAAUACAUUUGUUGAUGGACAAAAUUCAUGAUAAAUCAAAAUCAAUUAUGGAUUAUUAUUAAGAAGAUUUUGCAUUAAUUAUUGACUAUCAAAAUUUGUUUGUAAUUAUUUAUUGAUAAUUAUCGAUUAAUAAAAGUUGGUAUUAAUUAUGGGCGAAUUUUAGCUGAUAGUAAAUAUCAUAAUUUACUAUUGUUGUUAAUUUUCUUUUUGUUCUUCUUUCGUCUUUCUUAAUUUUUUUUCCUCUCAUCCUUCUUCUUCUUCUCUUAUGUUGUCAUCCCCCUUAUCACCACCACUACAAUUACGGUGGAAUAUUUCUUUUUGUACUAUUUUGGUUAUUGUUAUUACUAUUGUCACCACCUCUUUUUCCUUCUUUUCU
RNAcentral lists this long non-coding RNA (413 nucleotides) under Vigna radiata. RNAcentral describes it as "long non-coding RNA (VRAD_LNC016872)". The record is from RNAcentral. Lineage: Eukaryota; Viridiplantae; Streptophyta; Magnoliopsida; Fabales; Fabaceae.